Molecule: ribosomal RNA, 253 nt
Filed under: uncultured bacterium
Lineage: Bacteria
Description: partial 16S ribosomal RNA
Rfam family: Bacterial small subunit ribosomal RNA
Source: RNAcentral
UACGGGGGGGGCAAGCGUUGUUCGGAAUUACUGGGCGUAAAGGGCUUGUAGGUGGCCAACUAAGUCAGAGGUGAAAUCCCUCGGCUUAACCGGGGAACUGCGUCUGAUACUGGAUGGCUUGAGUGUGGGAGAGGGAUGCGGAAUUCCAGGUGUAGCGGUGAAAUGCGUAGAUAUCUGGAGGAACACCGGUGGCGAAGGCGGCAUCCUGGACCAUUACUGACACUGAAAAGCGAAAGCCAGGGGAGCAAACGGG